CGGCGGUAUGCUUAACACAUGCAAGUCGAACGGUAGCAGGCCUUCGGGCGCUGACGAGUGGCGGACGGGUGAGUAACGCGUAGGAAUCUGCCUGGUAGUGGGGGACAACGUGGGGAAACUCACGCUAAUACCGCAUACGCCCUACGGGGGAAAGCGGGGGCUCUUCGGACCUCGCGCUAUCAGAUGAGCCUGCGUUAGAUUAGCUAGUUGGUAGGGUAAAGGCCUACCAAGGCGACGAUCUAUAGCUGGUCUGAGAGGACGAUCAGCCACACUGGGACUGAGACACGGCCCAGACUCCUACGGGAGGCAGCAGUGGGGAAUAUUGGACAAUGGGCGCAAGCCUGAUCCAGCAAUACCGCGUGUGUGAAGAAGGCCUUAGGGUUGUAAAGCACUUUCAAUGGGGAGGAAAACCUGCCGGUCAAUACCCGGUAGCUUGACAUUACCUUUAGAAGAAGCACCGGCUAACUCCGUGCCAGCAGCCGCGGUAAUACGGAGGGUGCGAGCGUUAAUCGGAAUUACUGGGCGUAAAGCGUGCGUAGGCGGUUCGUUAAGUCAGAUGUGAAAGCCCCGGGCUUAACCUGGGAACUGCAUUUGAAACUGGCGGACUAGAGUUGAGUAGAGGGGAGUGGAAUUUCAGGUGUAGCGGUGAAAUGCGUAGAUAUCUGAAGGAACACCAGUGGCGAAGGCGACUCCCUGGACCCAAACUGACGCUGAGGUACGAAAGCGUGGGUAGCAAACAGGAUUAGAUACCCUGGUAGUCC
Molecule: ribosomal RNA, 761 nt
Filed under: uncultured bacterium
Lineage: Bacteria
Description: bacterial SSU rRNA
Rfam family: Bacterial small subunit ribosomal RNA
Source: RNAcentral